Molecule: ribosomal RNA, 525 nt
Filed under: uncultured bacterium
Lineage: Bacteria
Description: partial 16S ribosomal RNA
Rfam family: Bacterial small subunit ribosomal RNA
Source: RNAcentral
UGGGGAAUAUUGCACAAUGGGCGAAAGCCUGAUGCAGCGACGCCGCGUGAGGGAUGACGGCCUUCGGGUUGUAAACCUCUUUCAGCAGGGAAGAAGCGAAAGUGACGGUACCUGCAGAAGAAGCGCCGGCUAACUACGUGCCAGCAGCCGCGGUAAUACGUAGGGCGCAAGCGUUGUCCGGAAUUAUUGGGCGUAAAGAGCUCGUAGGCGGUUAGUCGCGUCUGCUGUGAAAACUCGAGGCUCAACCUCGGGCUUGCAGUGGGUACGGGCUGACUAGAGUGCGGUAGGGGUGACUGGAAUUCCUGGUGUAGCGGUGGAAUGCGCAGAUAUCAGGAGGAACACCGAUGGCGAAGGCAGGUCACUGGGCCGCAACUGACGCUGAGGAGCGAAAGCAUGGGGAGCGAACAGGAUUAGAUACCCUGGUAGUCCAUGCCGUAAACGUUGGGCACUAGGUGUGGGUCCAUUCCACGGAUUCCGUGCCGCAGCAAACGCAUUAAGUGCCCCGCCUGGGGAGUACGGCCGCAA